AGUGAACGCUGGCGGUAGGCCUAACACAUGCAAGUCGAACGGCAGCACAGUAAGAGCUUGCUCUUACGGGUGGCGAGUGGCGGACGGGUGAGGAAUACAUCGUAAUCUACUUUUUCGUGGGGGAUAACGUAGGGAAACUUACGCUAAUACCGCAUACGACCUACGGGUGAAAGCAUGGGAUCUUCUGACCUUGCGCGAUUGAAUGAGCCGAUGUCGGAUUAGCUAGUUGGCGGGGUAAAGGCCCACCAAGGCGACGAUCCGUAGCUGGUCUGAGAGGAUGAUAAGCCACACUGGAAGUGGGACACGGUCAAGAGUCCUACGGGAGGCAGCAGUGGGGAAUAUUGGACAAUGGGCGCAAGCCUGAUCCAGCCAUACCGCGUGGGUGAAGAAGGCCUUCGGGUUGUAAAGCCCUUUUGUUGGGAAAGAAAAGCAGCAGGUUAAUACCCCGCUGUUCUGACGGUACCCAAAGAAUAAGCACCGGCUAACUUCGUG
RNAcentral lists this ribosomal RNA (492 nucleotides) under uncultured bacterium. Its description in RNAcentral is "partial 16S ribosomal RNA". It matches the Rfam family "Bacterial small subunit ribosomal RNA", at positions 29 to 507 of the family's 1533-position model. The record is from RNAcentral.